GGUGUGAGAGAGCUCUUUUGCCCCAGUGGCCUAACACGCAGGAUAAUUGCACAUCAUGUGAUAUGACCAUUUUGGUGUUAAAACAGCAAUUAACUAUCCUGCGAAGCGUCUGAGCUUGCUGAGAUAAUCAAUAUCCACGUUUUUAUCGGCUUUGGAAAAGCGCGAGCCCUCCUUCGGGUCCCCAAAACCGUUUCACGAGCAAAACAGAGCUGGAGGUAAUGAGACUAGGAAAUAGUGAUCGGUUGUUGAUGGUGUUGGAAGGUUGAUUCAUUGUAAUUAUCAAGCAGGCCAGGGACUGCUUCCAAAGGAGGGGUGAUCACGUGGCAAGCGGGAUGUCAACGAAUCUUGCCUUUUCGUCUUGCCUUUCCUUCCCGCUCUGAGGGUGCCUACAGCCUAUUAUCAGCGAGGGAGGAGACCGAUGUGCUGCAAAUGCGUCUUUAUG
This 442-nucleotide small RNA is filed under the name Histoplasma ohiense. RNAcentral describes it as "hypothetical lncRNA". Lineage: Eukaryota; Fungi; Ascomycota; Eurotiomycetes; Onygenales; Ajellomycetaceae. The record is from RNAcentral.